Molecule: ribosomal RNA, 171 nt
Filed under: uncultured bacterium
Lineage: Bacteria
Description: partial 16S ribosomal RNA
Rfam family: Bacterial small subunit ribosomal RNA
Source: RNAcentral
CCUACGGGAGGCAGCAGUUGGGAAUCUUCCGCAAUGGGCGAAAGCCUGACGGAGCGACACUGCGUGAGGGAAGAAGGCCUUCGGGUUGUAAACCUCUGUCGAGAGGGGAAGACCUCAGACGGUACCCUCAGAGGAAGCCCCGGCUAACUACGUGCCAGCAGCCGCGGUAAU